This 324-nucleotide ribosomal RNA is filed under the name uncultured Actinomycetes bacterium. Its description in RNAcentral is "bacterial SSU rRNA". It matches the Rfam family "Bacterial small subunit ribosomal RNA", at positions 28 to 351 of the family's 1533-position model. Lineage: Bacteria; Bacillati; Actinomycetota; Actinomycetes. The record is from RNAcentral.
GAUGAACGCUGGCGGCGUGCUUAACACAUGCAAGUCGAACGAUUAAAGCCCCUUCGGGGGUGUAUAGAGUGGCGAACGGGUGAGUAACACGUGGGCAACCUGCCCUGCGCUUCGGGAUAACUCAGGGAAACCUGAGCUAAUACCGGAUACUCCGCGAGGAUCGCAUGGUCCUUUCGGGAAAGUUCCGGCGGCGCAGGAUGGGCCCGCGGCCCAUUAGCUUGUUGGUGAGGUAACGGCUCACCAAGGCAACGAUGGGUAGCCGAGCUGAGAGGCUGAUCGGCCACACUGGGACUGAGACACGGCCCAGACUCCUACGGGUGGCAG